GACGAACGCUGGCGGCGUGCUUAACACAUGCAAGUCGAACGGAAAGGCCCUGCUUUUGUGGGGUGCUCGAGUGGCGAACGGGUGAGUAACACGUGAGUAACCUGCCCUUGACUUUGGGAUAACUUCAGGAAACUGGGGCUAAUACCGGAUAGGAGCUCCUGCUGCAUGGUGGGGGUUGGAAAGUUUCGGCGGUUGGGGAUGGACUCGCGGCUUAUCAGCUUGUUGGUGGGGUAGUGGCUUACCAAGGCUUUGACGGGUAGCCGGCCUGAGAGGGUGACCGGCCACAUUGGGACUGAGAGACGGCCCAGACUCCUACGGGAGGAAGAAGUGGGGAAUAUUGAAGAAGGGGCGGAAGCCUGAUGCAGCAACGCCGCGUGAGGGAUGACGGCCUUCGGGUUGUAAACCGCUUUCGCCUGUGACGAAGCGUGAGUGACGGUAAUGGGUAAAGAAGCACCGGCUAACUACG
Molecule: ribosomal RNA, 466 nt
Filed under: uncultured bacterium
Lineage: Bacteria
Description: partial 16S ribosomal RNA
Rfam family: Bacterial small subunit ribosomal RNA
Source: RNAcentral